Molecule: ribosomal RNA, 451 nt
Filed under: [Eubacterium] brachy
Lineage: Bacteria; Bacillati; Bacillota; Clostridia; Peptostreptococcales; Anaerovoracaceae
Description: bacterial SSU rRNA
Rfam family: Bacterial small subunit ribosomal RNA
Source: RNAcentral
GAUGAACGCUGGCGGCGUGCUUAACACAUGCAAGUCGAGCGAGAAGUUUUGAAAAGAUUCUUCGGAUGAAAUUUAAAAUGGAAAGCGGCGGACGGGUGAGUAACGCGUAGGCAACCUGCCCCAUACAAAGGGAUAGCAUUUGGAAACGAAUAUUAAUACCUUAUGAAACUUAACUAGUGCAUGCUAGGUAGGUCAAAGAUUUAUCGGUAUGGGAUGGGCCUGCGUCUGAUUAGCUAGUUGGUGAGGUAACGGCUCACCAAGGCGACGAUCAGUAGCCGACCUGAGAGGGUGAACGGCCACAUUGGAACUGAGACACGGUCCGAACUCCUACGGGAGGCAGCAGUGGGGAAUAUUGCACAAUGGGGGAAACCCUGAUGCAGCAACGCCGCGUGAACGAUGAAGGCCUUUGGGUCGUAAAGUUCUGUUCUAGGUGAUGAAAACUGACAGUAAC